Molecule: ribosomal RNA, 795 nt
Filed under: uncultured archaeon
Lineage: Archaea
Description: partial 16S ribosomal RNA
Source: RNAcentral
UUCCAGCUUCAUGAGGGCGAGUUACAGCCCUCAAUCCGAACUACGGUUGGGUUUAGGAGAUUACCGUCCCUUUUCAGGGUAGGUGCCCAUUGUCCCAACCAUUGUAGCCCGCGUGUAGCCCGGGAGAUUCGGGGCAUACUGACCUACCGUAGCCCGUUCCUUCCUCCGCUUUAGCAGCGGCGGUCCCCACAGUGUACCCAUCGUUCCGGAGAACAUGCUGGCAACUGUGGGCGCGGGUCUCGCUCGUUGCCUGACUUAACAGGAUGCUUCACAGUACGAACUGACGACGGCCAUGCACCUCCUCUCAGCGAUUCAGGUAAGACCUUCAGCCUGACCUACAUAUUGCUGUCGCACCCGGUGAGUUUUCCGGCGUUGAAUCCAAUUAAACCGCAGGCUCCACCCGUUGUAGUGCUCCCCCGCCAAUUCCUUUAAGUUUCAGCCUUGCGACCGUACUUCCCAGGUGGCUCGCUUAACGGCUUCCCUGCGGCACCAAACACGGUCGCACCGUGUCUGACACCUAGCGAGCAUCGUUUACAGCUAGGACUACCCGGGUAUCUAAUCCGGUUUGCUCCCCUAGCUUUCGUCCCUCACCGUCGGACCCGUUCUGGUAAGGCGCCUUCGCCACAGAUGGUCCCCCAGGGAUUACAAGAUUUCACUCCUACCCCUGGAGUACCCCUUACCUCUUCCGGUCCCAAGCCUGACAGUAUCCCUUAGAAGCCUGACAGUUAAGCUGCCAGAUUUCCCAAAGGACUUAUCAGCCGGCUACGGACCCUUUAGACCCAAUAAAAACGGCUA